CUACAGAGGGUGCGAGCGUUAAUCGGAAUUACUGGGCGUAAAGCGCGCGUAGGCGGCUUGGUCAGUCGGAUGUGAAAGCCCCGGGCUCAACCUGGGAAUGGCAUUCGAUACUGCCAGGCUAGAGUAUGGGAGAGGGAAGUGGAAUUUCCAGUGUAGCGGUGAAAUGCGUAGAUAUCGGAAGGAACACCAGUGGCGAAGGCGACUUCCUGGCCCAAUACUGACGCUGAGGUGCGAAAGCGUGGGGAGCGAACAGGAUUAGAAACCCUAGUAGUCC
This 274-nucleotide ribosomal RNA is filed under the name uncultured bacterium. RNAcentral's name for it is "partial 16S ribosomal RNA". It matches the Rfam family "Bacterial small subunit ribosomal RNA", at positions 523 to 796 of the family's 1533-position model. The record is from RNAcentral.